This 663-nucleotide ribosomal RNA is filed under the name Poa candamoana. Its description in RNAcentral is "eukaryotic LSU rRNA". Lineage: Eukaryota; Viridiplantae; Streptophyta; Magnoliopsida; Poales; Poaceae. The record is from RNAcentral.
GGAAGGAGAAGUCGUAACAAGGUUUCCGUAGGUGAACCUGCGGAAGGAUCAUUGUCGUGACCCUGACCAAAACAGACCGUGAACGYGUCAUCUUGCCUGCCAGCGGCGGCCCUGNCCGUCGCUUGGCCAAAGUCCUCGAUAACCUCCUCUCCUCGGAGCGGGGGCUCGGGGUAAAAGAACCCACGGCGCCGAAGGCGUCAAGGAACACUGUGCCUAACCCGGGGAAGCGGCUGGCUUGCUAGCUGCCCCUCGUGUUGCAAUGCUAUUUAAUCCACACGACUCUCGGCAACNGGAUAUCUCGGCUCUCGCAUCGAUGAAGNAACGUAGCGAAAUGCGAUACCUGGUGUGNAAUUGCAGAAUCCCGCGAACCAUCGAGUCUUUGAACGCAAGUUGCGCCCGAGGCCACUUGGCCGAGGGCACGCCUGCCUGGGCGUCACGCCAAACACGCUCCCACCCCUCAUCGGGUGGUGGGAUGCGGCAUGUGGCUCCCCGUCUUGCAAGGGGCGGUGGGCCGAAGAUGCGGCUGCCGGCGUAUCGUGCCGGACACAGCGCGUGGUGGGCGAACUCGCUUUACUUACCGCAGUGCAUCCGGCCCAUAGCCGACGUGAUGGCCUUAAGGACCCUAUGAACGGAGCGCAUGACGCUCCGACCGCGACCCCAGGU